This 329-nucleotide unclassified non-coding RNA is filed under the name plant metagenome. RNAcentral's name for it is "partial contains 5.8S ribosomal RNA, internal transcribed spacer 2, and large subunit ribosomal RNA". The stretch from base 1 to 105 matches the Rfam family "5.8S ribosomal RNA", at positions 50 to 154 of the family's 154-position model. The record is from RNAcentral.
GAAAUGCGAUAAGUAAUGUGAAUUGCAGAAUUCAGUGAAUCAUCGAAUCUUUGAACGCACAUUGCGCCCGUCAGCAUUCUGGCGGGCAUGCCUGUUCGAGCGUCAUUUCAACCCUCAGGACCCCCCUUUCGCGGGGAGGGACCUGGCGUUGGGGAUCGGCCCGCCCCCCGUGGCGGCGCCGUCCCCGAAAUCUAGUGGCGGUCUCGCUGCAGCCUCCCCUGCGUAGUAGUUACAACCUCGCAUCGGAGCGCGGCGCGGCCACGCCGUAAAACCCCCGACUUUCUGAUCGUUGACCUCGGAUCAGGUAGGAAUACCCGCUGAACUUAAGC